UACAGAGGGUGCAAGCGUUGUUCGGAAUUAUUGGGCGAAAAGCGCGUGUAGGCGGCAGUGCAAGUCGGGUGUGAAAGCCCUCAGCUCAACUGAGGAAGUGCGCCCGAAACUGCAUUGCUUGAGUACCGGAGAGGAUGGCGGAAUUCCCGAAGUAGAGGUGAAAUUCGUAGAUAUCGGGAGGAACACCGGUGGCGAAGGCGGCCAUCUGGACGGAUACUGACGCUGAGACGCGAAAGCGUGGGUAGCAAACAGG
This 253-nucleotide ribosomal RNA is filed under the name uncultured bacterium. RNAcentral describes it as "partial 16S ribosomal RNA". It matches the Rfam family "Bacterial small subunit ribosomal RNA", at positions 524 to 776 of the family's 1533-position model. The record is from RNAcentral.